Molecule: ribosomal RNA, 783 nt
Filed under: Triticum aestivum (bread wheat)
Lineage: Eukaryota; Viridiplantae; Streptophyta; Magnoliopsida; Poales; Poaceae
Description: partial small subunit ribosomal RNA
Source: RNAcentral
AUGCUCCCGCUCGCUGUUGCAAGGGCCUGCCUUUCCUCCCUGGCGCCUCUGCCGAGACCCCAAACCCGAGCAGCGCCUCUCUCCCCCCUUCACCGUCGCCGCUCCACUGCCACGCUGCCCAGACCCGCCAGGAUCCCCCUCCUCCGCCCGCUCGGGGCCACCAUGGGCGUCGGCGCGUCCUCGCGGCCCGCGAGGGACCGUGUGAUCGACUUUGGCAAGCACAAGGGCCAGAUGUUGGGCACGCUGCCGCCGUCCUACCUGCACUGGGUGGUCGCGGAGCUCGACUAUGGGGACACGCUGGUUUUGGCGCGCCUGGCGCGCGAGGUGCUCGACGACCCCGUCUACGUCGACCGCGUCGAGUGGGAGCACGCGCACCGCUUCCUCCAAGUUCGACUACGUCUACACGACGGCGACGGGCCGCUCCAGGAGAUGGCUGAGCGCUUCGGCUGGGAUCUCUCCAACGAGGACGGUUGGGGCCGCCUCGACUUCCGCCUCCUCAGCACCUCCUACGGUGGCCGCAUCCCGAGGAAGGCCGACCGGCGCCAGAGCACCGACAGCGGCAACAACAGAUCCCCCCACGGCGGCGGCGCCCUGUUCGACACCGGGGCGGCCGACCCGGACGGGCCGAGGGGGAAGAGGGACGAGAGGAGGGAGCGGAUGCGGACGAGGAGGGAGGAGCAGGUGAGGACGGUGAAACUGGAUGUGCUUGGCGUGAACUCCGGCGCGAAGGAUGGCCACGGUGGCACCUGGUUCGUGGGCCCAACCGGUCAGAUUUAUGCUUAG